UUCAGAACGAACGCUGGCGGCAGGCUUAACACAUGCAAGUCGAGCGCCCCGCAAGGGGAGCGGCAGACGGGUGAGUAACGCGUGGGAAUCUACCUAGCUCUACGGAAUAACCCAGGGAAACUUGGACUAAUACCGUAUACGUCUUCGGGAGAAAGAUUUAUCGGAGUUGGAUGAGCCCGCGUUGGAUUAGCUAGUUGGUGGGGUAAUGGCCUACCAAGGCGACGAUCCAUAGCUGGUCUGAGAGGAUGAUCAGCCACACUGGGACUGAGACACGGCCCAGACUCUACGGGAGGCAGCAGUGGGGAAUAUUGGACAAUGGGCGMAAGCCUGAUCCAGCCAUGCCGCGUGAGUGAUGAAGGCCCUAGGGUUGUAAAGCUCUUUCAACGGUGAAGAUAAUGACGGUAACCGUAGAAGAAGCCCCGGCUAACUUCGUGCCAGCAGCCGCGGUAAUACGAAGGGGGCUAGCGUUGUUCGGAAUUACUGGGCGUAAAGCGCACGUAGGCGGACUAUUAAGUCAGGGGUGAAAUCCCGGGGCUCAACCCCGGAACUGCCUUUGAUACUGGUAGUCUAGAGUCCGAGAGAGGUGAGUGGAAUUCCGAGUGUAGAGGUGAAAUUCGUAGAUAUUCGGAGGAACACCAGUGGCGAAGGC
RNAcentral lists this ribosomal RNA (649 nucleotides) under alpha proteobacterium GWS-AG-H249. RNAcentral's name for it is "bacterial SSU rRNA". It matches the Rfam family "Bacterial small subunit ribosomal RNA", at positions 23 to 722 of the family's 1533-position model. Lineage: Bacteria; Pseudomonadati; Pseudomonadota; Alphaproteobacteria. The record is from RNAcentral.